RNAcentral lists this small RNA (235 nucleotides) under Tursiops truncatus (common bottlenose dolphin). RNAcentral's name for it is "7SK RNA (ENSTTRG00000024873.1)". It matches the Rfam family "7SK RNA", at positions 1 to 240 of the family's 331-position model. Rfam says of the family: 7SK was discovered as an abundant small nuclear RNA in the mid-70s but a possible function has only recently been suggested. Two independent studies have found that 7SK RNA binds the CDK9/cyclin T complex (known as elongation factor P-TEFb). The record is from RNAcentral. Lineage: Eukaryota; Metazoa; Chordata; Mammalia; Artiodactyla; Delphinidae.
GAAUUUGAGGGUGACCUGGUGGUGACAAGCCACCCCACUGAUCACCAGUCUUUUUUCAACUGAUCUCACUGGCUUGCUGGGUGUCCCCUUUUUCCUCCACAGUUCUGUGUCUGUCCUUCCUGAAGCAGAGUGCUCGGUCAAAAGGACACUUUUUUUAAAACGUUGAACAACUUUCUAUGUUGAUUUCUGUUUAGAUAAGUAUCCAAUUUCUAGUUUAUCUGAACCUCCUAGAAUU